This 17-nucleotide ribosomal RNA is filed under the name Carex filifolia. Its description in RNAcentral is "partial 5.8S ribosomal RNA". Lineage: Eukaryota; Viridiplantae; Streptophyta; Magnoliopsida; Poales; Cyperaceae. The record is from RNAcentral.
CCUCAUGGGGGUUAGAA